Molecule: ribosomal RNA, 1911 nt
Filed under: Triticum aestivum (bread wheat)
Lineage: Eukaryota; Viridiplantae; Streptophyta; Magnoliopsida; Poales; Poaceae
Description: partial small subunit ribosomal RNA
Source: RNAcentral
CAAAAGAGACGAAGUCAUAAAAACACAGAGACCGUUUCAAUUAGUAGCAUAAGUACAGUAAAUAAAUCCUCCCUAGGGUUAAUGACUGACGUAGUCCGCUGGUUAGACAUUUCUAUACCUCGCACCUCUUAUUCUUUACGGAACCACACGACAGUCCCGUGUGAUCUUCACACUUCAGUGACUGUACGGUAAGAAGUUUGGGACUAGAAUAAUAAAGACCAAGUUCUCUACCAAGAAAAGGUGAAACCCUAGAUUCUACACUGGGGGUUUGGGGUUUACCAGUACCACUUCGUACUGAGUACAUACAAUAGAUUACCGAUGACGUUAGAUUUACGAGGAAAAUUAACGUUAGUAGUUUAUAAGCAUUGUUAUAUCGUAGAAAUUGACUUAAGCAUCGUUAUAUCGUAGAAAUGUACAAUCUAGAAGACCAAAACAGUUUCUUCUCGUGUCAGGGUGAGCUUCCUUAGCCUAUUCCAGAACUCGUUUCCCUCGAAGCUGCUCGUAGUGUAGUCAAGACAUAGACUUUCUACUGGAGAGGUAACGAUGAAGACCUCACGCUCGACAACCACAAACAGCACAAUCCUUCUACCCACAUAUUGAGCACCUAGAACCCCUGUUCGCCUACCUAGAACCCAGAACCCCUGUUCGCCUACCACAAGCAGCACAAUCCUUCUACCCACAUAUUGAGCACCUCACGCUCGACAACGCACCGCUGUGAGCUGACGUAAGCAACUAGACUGACAGACAGUAGCACGUCCACAGCUUAACAACUACCUCCGAAGUCCAGCAGGAAGAGUUCCUCUACUCCGACCGGUAAUUCCUAGACCCCACUUCCAGUACAGUAGAGAAGAGCACCGAGAUGACGGGUGACGAAGGUGACGACUAUAAAACUCGAGAAACUAGUCUCGUUCGUGGUACCCUUCCUUUCUACAACCCCCGCACUUGACAGGGCUGUUGCUGUAACAACGGACGACUGAUACACGUCCUGAUGGACCGAGCUGGAGAUAGAGUUACAGUCUUUUAAUCCUUGGACUUCCCUUUUACCUUCCGCGGAAACUACCUGUAAGUCGGGCCUCAUGUUCCUACUAGGGAUGUAGAUAUGAAAACUAUACGACUUCGUGUAACCGUAACUCGAUUCCGUCCUGUGGUCUGAGAUUUGUACCCAGUUCGACCUCGCUGAGUUCUACGUCGAACUGAAGACCAUGUGAUAUACUCACUAAGUUUAAACGAGUUCCACUUGUUAUCGACCGUACCUCGGUUGGCCUCCUUCCUGAGAACUAAGAUUUCAAAUGUUAGGAGGGUUGUUGGUCAAGAACGGUGCCUGUGACUUACAACACUGCAGUUAAACCUUCGGUGCCCUACCUAGGGAAAGUCUCGCUAGAUCUGCGGGAGCUACGGAGCUGUUGAAGUGCUCACAGACUUCACAUUUGACUGUAGUAUGAAUAUUGACCAUCCUCCUCUGUCCAUUCUAGUCAGUGGUCACUACCUCAGUACUCAAACAACUGCAGCACGAUUUGCAACCACAUCCCGGUUUCCUCUUCUGUACCACGUUUUAAGAACUCGAACUGUAAUACGACCUACACCCACGGUCCCGGCGGUGGUUCCUACAUCCCCAGCGCGGUGUUACCCGCUCCUACGUAACCAGUACGGCUUUGACUGCUCCUGUGCACUCGGCGUGAGGUCGGAAUCACAAAAAGGAUUAAAGAAAUCCAUGCGCUCCAACUAAAUUAUAAGUGUACAUACGACUUUAAUACUGUGGUUUCUUGGUCGUUACCUCAAUAUACUUUAAAGAGGGCUCUCGAUAUGAUGGUAAGAAAAAUCAUAACUGAUUAAGGGUACUCAACGGGGUUUUAACAUUUAUACUUAAACCUACUAAGUAACCAGGAGUAAUUUUAUCGUCGUACUUUAUUG